This 346-nucleotide unclassified non-coding RNA is filed under the name soil metagenome. Its description in RNAcentral is "partial contains 5.8S ribosomal RNA, internal transcribed spacer 2, and large subunit ribosomal RNA". The stretch from base 1 to 120 matches the Rfam family "5.8S ribosomal RNA", at positions 35 to 154 of the family's 154-position model. The record is from RNAcentral.
GAUGAAGAACGUAGCGAAAUGCGAUAAGUAGUGUGAAUUGCAGAAUUCAGUGAAUCAUCGAGUCUUUGAACGCACAUUGCGCCCCCUGGUAUUCCGGGGGGCAUGCCUGUCCGAGCGUCAUUGCUGCCCUCAAGCACGGCUUGUGUGUUGGGCCCCGUCCUCCGAUCCCGGGGGACGGGCCCGAAAGGCAGCGGCGGCACCGCGUCCGGUCCUCGAGCGUAUGGGGCUUUGUCACCCGCUCUGUAGGCCCGGCCGGCGCUUGCCGAUCAACCCAAAUUUUUAUCCAGGUUGACCUCGGAUCAGGUAGGGAUACCCGCUGAACUUAAGCAUAUCAAUAAGCGGAGGA